This 497-nucleotide ribosomal RNA is filed under the name uncultured bacterium. RNAcentral describes it as "partial 16S ribosomal RNA". It matches the Rfam family "Bacterial small subunit ribosomal RNA", at positions 28 to 507 of the family's 1533-position model. The record is from RNAcentral.
GAUGAACGCUGGCGGCGUGCCUAAUACAUGCAAGUCGAGCGAACAGACGAGGAGCUUGCUCCUCUGACGUUAGCGGCGGACGGGUGAGUAACACGUGGAUAACCUACCUAUAAGACUGGGAUAACUUCGGGAAACCGGAGCUAAUACCGGAUAAUAUAUUGAACCGCAUGGUUCAAUAGUGAAAGACGGUUUUGCUGUCACUUAUAGAUGGAUCCGCGCCGCAUUAGCUAGUUGGUAAGGUAACGGCUUACCAAGGCAACGAUGCGUAGCCGACCUGAGAGGGUGAUCGGCCACACUGGAACUUAGACACGGUCCAGACUCCUACGGGAGGCAGCAGUAGGGAAUCGUCCGCAAUGGGCGAAAGCCUGACGGAGCAACGCCGCGUGAGUGAUGAAGGUCUUCGGAUCGUAAAACUCUGUUAUUAGGGAAGAACAAAUGUGUAAGUAACUAUGCACGUCUUGACGGUACCUAAUCAGAAAGCCACGGCUAACUACGUG